Molecule: ribosomal RNA, 501 nt
Filed under: uncultured Oscillibacter sp.
Lineage: Bacteria; Bacillati; Bacillota; Clostridia; Eubacteriales; Oscillospiraceae
Description: bacterial SSU rRNA
Rfam family: Bacterial small subunit ribosomal RNA
Source: RNAcentral
AGUCGUUGACGUCGCGCAGAGACGACGCUGGCGGCGUGCUUAACACAUGCAAGUCGAACGGGGCACCCUUGAAAGAGAUUUCGGUCAAUGGAUAGGAAUGCGUUAGUGGCGGACGGGUGAGUAACGCGUGAGUAACCUGCCUUUCAGAGGGGGACAACAGUUGGAAACGACUGCUAAUACCGCAUAACAUAUAGGUGCCGCAUGGCACUUAUAUCAAAGAUUUAUCGCUGAGAGAUGGACUCGCGUCUGAUUAGCUAGUUGGUGGGGUAACGGCCCACCAAGGCGACGAUCAGUAGCCGGACUGAGAGGUUGGCCGGCCACAUUGGGACUGAGAUACGGCCCAGACUCCUACGGGAGGCAGCAGUGGGGAAUAUUGGGCAAUGGGCGCAAGCCUGACCCAGCAACGCCGCGUGAAGGAAGAAGGCUUUCGGGUUGCAAACUUCUUUUGACAGGGAAGAGCAGAAGACGGUACCUGUCGAAUAAGCCACGGCUAACUACGUG